UUGUUUUUCUUUUCCUUAAUGUUUCAAAAAUUUCAUGUAACUCAAUUAGAUUACAAUAAGGCCAUCUGCAGAUAAAUGUGAGGCAGAGUUGUUAAGCAAGAAAUAUGAGGAGAAGUACAAACAUUGUAGCGGAAAUAACAUCCAAAUUGAUUGUUGAAGAAGCUAAAUUUCGUGAUAUACAGGAGAAAAGAGGGAUUGCACGGGGAUUUAGUUUAAGCCACCUGGGUGUUGGGUUUCACUUCCAUGGUUGAAGGUGGUCAAGUUAGCCAUCUUCACAUGCUUCUUGUGUUCUGCACUCUUCCUCUUAGUUGUCCUUUUUUUGUCUUUACCUUUAUUUCACUCAAUUCUUUUACUUUCACAAUUAAACUUUAUUAAUACCUACAAUUUUCCAGAUCUUGACUCUCAAUAUCUAUUUACUUUGGUAUUCUUCAACUAAAUGACUUUAUCUAUUAAUACCUACAAUUAAACUUAAUGUCAUUUCCAAAACAGUUUGUGAAAACAAGUUUUUGAAUAAAUAAUAGAUCUAUAAACUAUCUAAACAAAAAUAAAUUUAUUUAUUACUUUUCUUUUUGGGGUGUCAAGAAACAAAAUUAACUUUUAAUAACAUCACUUUAGAAAUAGUGAGGAAUUGAUGGGAAUUGGGGAUGGUAUUUGUCGCUAAAAAAGAUAGUGCAAUUCUCAAAGUCUUAGAAGUCAUUUAUUAAAAAGAAAUCUUAACAAAACAUUAUUGUUCUUUCAUAGGCAUGCGUCGGUUUGCUUAGGUUAUGCAAUAGCCGUUAACUAGGGAAGGUCAUUUCGAAAUAGUCUUGGAGAAAAGCAUAUGAUUUUAUAACAUAUGAAUGAUUUUGAUGGACUUUCAUAUGGUUACUUGAGGGCC
Arachis duranensis is the source of this 877-nucleotide long non-coding RNA. RefSeq lists it as uncharacterized. Lineage: Eukaryota; Viridiplantae; Streptophyta; Magnoliopsida; Fabales; Fabaceae. The transcript is spliced from 3 exons. The record is from RefSeq and is a predicted model, not a curated record.